This is a long non-coding RNA of Melospiza melodia melodia, 5501 nucleotides long. RefSeq lists it as uncharacterized. The transcript has 2 exons. The record is from RefSeq and is a predicted model, not a curated record. Lineage: Eukaryota; Metazoa; Chordata; Aves; Passeriformes; Passerellidae.
CCGCCGCACCCGGAGCCCCUCGCACGGAGCCGCGGCCGGGGGACGGGAGGGCACCUCGCUUCUGGCAGCGAGAAACGUGUCCAUCCCCCCCGUCCCACCCCGAUCGCCUCCUCUUCGGCACUGAAGCUGCCAAGUAUUUCGCAUUAUAGGCAGUUUGCGCUCUCUGGUCCACCGAAAGUGUAAAACACGCUGUAUCAGUUUCCUCGUGCUAUGGGGAAAAUAAAAAGUAAAUUAACCGAAUUCGUUUUGUGCUCAACGCAGGACCUUCGCCUUCUGAAACGGGAACUGAAAUUGGGCUCGUCAGCAUCGAGUUGCUGAUGAAAAUCUUGGUCACCUCAGCAUUUGCCGUCUUUUUGUCUCCUUAAGAAAAAAAAAGUUAUGAGAAGUGUUUUGUACGUGUGAUAAGCAUAUUUAUGAAAGUGACCGCUAAAUUAUCCAGAAAUCCUGUCCUUAAGGCUAAAAACCUGUAAGGAAAUAAACAUAAUUAUAUAAUUGCCUAAUUAAAACCUUUACCAUAAUGCCUAUUCUCGUCUAAAGGUUACACAUUAAGUGCAGUGCUUAAGUACUGUGAGGAGAAUAAUUAUAGUUGUUGACAUUGUGUUGUGAAAUGUACAAAAAAAAAGUUAAUAUCUUUUUGAAAAAAAAACCCCCACUUGACUUCAAGCACUUUGUGCACUGAGUUAGAGCUUUAUGAUCAGGAUCAUUACAGGCAUGUUAGGAACUGAGACUGCCUGUGCAUGGACAGGCAGUUCAUGGGCUGUAGUUGGGAGUAAUGUAGUUUCCUGAACUGCUAGUAAAGGAAGGAAAGACUUGAACUUGUGCAGUUUAUUUUUGUCUGUUUAUUUUCCAUUAAUAACAUUUGAAUCUUUUAGCUAGAAUCAACCACAACUAACAAAAAGUUUUGAAAAAUAAUCUGGAAAAGAGCAUAUCACCCUUCAAAAAACCAGCAUCAUGAAUGGUAAUUACAUGAAAGAAUCCAUCCACAGACAACUGCUGUCUGAAUCACAAAUUAAUAAAAAUCAGGUUUCUUUGUCGCCUUGUCUUAAUAAUUGAUUUGCUUUUAUGUGAGAAGUGUUCGGAACUUUUCUAUGUUUUAAACUGUAACCGUUAAAUCAGAAGACACAGACCUGGAAAUCUCAGUAAUGUAACAUUUAAGCAUUCCUUCAUUCUUUAGGAUGUUAUUGUUAUUAUUUAUGUAUCGUCCAUUUCCAGGCCAAGUUUUUCAGAUUCAGGAGGGAAUACUUUGUCACAUGUCUGUAAAGCAGCCAGCUUUCUACAGUCUCUGGGCAGCUUCUGGCACUGUACUCAUGAGGAACACUCAUGGUGACACAGAACACAGCACAUUGUAACUACAGGAACAGACUCGACUGUGAAAGAUCUCUAUCAGGCAUCACAGAGAAUUUGAGGCAGCUGGCAGUUAUCAGCUGAAGCAGUUAGUCACUAGAACUGCACAAGAUAAAUAGAUAAUUGAAAAGCCAUCUGGAAACCUGGGAGAGAUAAUAAGCCUCUCUUCUAGAAGUGAGGUAACAACUCAGGUAGGUCACAGAUGAACUCAACUCCCAGAUCAGUGCUUUGCCUAAUAACACUGAAAAUGCAGCAGCAGUUCAUGCCUGUCAGUUCUGAAGUAGUAUUGAGGUUGUUGUUGGAAAGGCAGUUUGGCAUAUUCAGUUAUACAAAUCAUUAUUGCAAUAGAGUGAAAAAGGAUUGUAGUGCUGUAAGACAGGUGCCCAAAAUCCCCAGAGCAACAUGGCCCUUUGUUAAAUUACAGUUGCCUAAAUAGAAAACUAGUUGCACGCACUUUUUACCCUCCGUGCUACCUUGUUUAUACUGCUGUGCAAGUGGUAGUAUUCCUGCCACGCUGACCGCGGUUGUCUGUGGGGCAAGUUACUUCUUUUUUUGUGAAAUUUAUAUUUAUAUUGAGAUAAUGGAACUAUCUUUGUUUUAUUUACCAUGAGCACAAAGAAUGGAGCAGAAUGGCCGAUGUCUAUGAGUGAAAGAAUGUGUUGAUCUUAGUAGUUGCAUUUUAAAAGAGUCCUAAAGAGUCUUUCUGUUCAAGUCACUCUUAUGAUUCUCAAAUUUCUGACUACAGAAAGUGUGACAUCUUGCAUGAACAUGCCAGGAAAUUGAUACCAUUUGGUAACUCCUCUUGCUAGGUUCUGAUCUCUUAUAGAACUAUAUUGAUUGUAGGGAAAGAACAUGAGAUAUUUUUGUGAGAGUGGGCACAGAAAAUAAGUUUUUGGCCUUUUCAAAAAAGAAAGUGGCAUCUUGCCAUCAGAGAAGUGCUUGAGUUGAUCCACUGACAUCUGUCUAUUCUGUUAAACCACUCAGGUGGAUCACAGGAAAUAACUGCUGCCAGUGUAAUAUUAAUUCUUGUGAGGUGAACAAAACAAAACAAAACAAAACCCCCAAACAACCAACAAACCCAAAAAAAAAAAAAACAAACAAAAAAGAAAAAGGGUAAGACUUUUGCUGCUCAAUUUACUUUGAAAGAUGCCUUUAAAAAUCUGUCUCUAAAAAUUCUGUUUAAAAAAUUCUGUGCAUUUACACUGAAAGAGCAUAGAGCAAAACACAUACUUUUGUGUUUUGUGUCAUCAAACCUUUUUACUGUAUUAUUUGCUACAAUUACAGUGGUAGUUACAGUAUCAGUUGUUACACUACAGUGGCUAAGAAAGUAACAUAUUAAAUUCUCAAAAUCCUUUAACAAAAAUUUGCAUGUGUCCAUGUUGCUGGCUGCAGAAAUAAUGUAAUUAAUUUGAACAGUCUCUGUAAAUCUUAAAAACCCCUGCUUUUAUUUUUUAGGUAUUGUUCUAAUUUCUAUUUUACUGUGGUACUGGACAUGAAUUAGUUGUGCAUAUAUGUAAAUUCUGCUUCUAUGUAUUGUCUGUUGAGGAUGUUUUCCUUUCCUAUCUCAUUUUAUGACUGCUAAAACAAAAAAAUGGCAAAGCUUUAAAGCUUACAAAUGCAUGAAAAAUUUUAAAUUACCAUUUGCUGUUUUGAGGCCUGAUUCAUCUUUCCAUUAUAAUCCUAGUGAUAGACUUUGGUCAGUCUAGAGCCCUUUUUCAUAUCAGUUUCUAAGUUUAGAUACAAGUGUACAAUUGUAAGUUAUCAUUGUGUUGUAACACAUGCCUAACUUCAUUAGAUUACAAAACUUUUUAGGUAGCAGGAGAAUUUUCAUUCUCACUUAUUUAUUUUUAUUUCCUUUUAAAAGAAGAUGAAAUGCCAAAAAAUUGCUUUUUAGAUAAAAUUCCAAAAUCUGCCUAAGUGUUUAUUAUAUAAGAAUGCAAUAUAGCAAUAAUUAUAAUCUAAAAAGAUGUUGGCAACAUGCUGUUGUAAACACUGCAAAUAAUACUUAGAAUAAUAUGCAGAGUCAGAAGUAAGAAAGCAUCACUCAGAGGGAAGCAUUUUUAUAAUUAGGAAGAAACAGAUCUAUUUUACUUUUUUCUCUCUCUUAUGAAUCCUUUGAGUAUUUCAGUCUUUUUCUGUGCUGUGAUCCAGAUUCAACAAGAAAAGUGCAGAAUAAAUAGUUCAGCUCAGGCUCACACUUUAUAACUGAAAUUUAGGCUCUACUGUAGGAGGUCUGAACAGAGGAACUAUUUGUGGUCAAGUUCACUAAUUGUGCAUGAAGGGAGAGAUCCUUCAUUAUCUGGUUGUGCUCAAAUAUCAAGUCAGCACUCUAAAUCUCGGGGGAUGAAGGUGUCUGUUUUAUAUAGGCACAUGACUUAGAUUAACUCUUCAGACAAACAUCAUGCCUGAGUGUUUCCAAAGCGCUUUGCUCUACCAUCAGGAAAAAGGAAAACGGUUCCCCCUAAAGGGUUCUGAAUUUCAUCAUGAAGGCACUUAAACCCCUGCUUGUUUGAGAGCUGGCUGCCUAAGGAACUAUGUGUGAACCCUCCUGCAGCUAUAAUAUUCUGAAUAAAGCCCUUGAGCAUAGAUAGAUUUGCAGAAAUGUUAAGCAUCAGUGAGCAUACUCUGAUGGGAUCAUAGUCUGCACUCAAGGUAACGUGACAGUCCAACUCCUGAGGAGGUUCACAGAACAUAAUGAAUUUCUUGAAUACCAUGAGUACAUUGAACUAAUCUUCAGUACUUCACUUGUUAUCCAUUCUGAUGAAAGCACUAGAAUAUAUGGUCAAAAUCAUGCAUGAAGAGCUUUCACUUCAUGGCGUUAUGUCUUAUUAUUAUAAUCUUGGUUUACUUUGCAACUCACUUCUGGGAUAAUCACAUUUUUACAGAGUGGGUAAAACUUUAGAAAUAGAAGUAUGGUUGGAAUACUAGUGCUUGGUAUGCUUCAAAACUGUAAAAAUCAUCAGUAUAUAAUGUAUUUACUUUCUUUACUGAUCAGGUCAAAAAUGUGUGUCUACAUUUUAGGGGACACUUACCAAACAAAUUCUUCUCCUAACACACAAUCAACACCAGGAGACUUUUGAAGAAGAAAAACCACAAUAUUUAUGUCAACUUUCCAUUCGGGGAAGGUCUCAGAUUGCUAACAAACACUGUUUUCCCAACAAAUGGCAAUGGCAAUGUGUUUGCAGGUAUUCACACAUGUCCUCUUACUUUUUGGUGACUUUCUUUUUCUUUAACAAUAAGACCUGAUGAAACUUCUGCUGGUGCCCCAGGAUCACACUGUUUUGUUUUGUUUAUUCCACAAAAUCAGUAAUAAUAGUUUCUUUUUUACGAUGUACAUUUUUUCGUCAGUCAUUGUCUCAUUAUCAGUAAUGUCUUUGGAUGCACAAGUCUGAUACUGGAUUGGUAUUCAAAUAUCUACUUCUUAUCAAAUAGCUUGAAUUGUGCAACAAUUUAUUGUGGUCUAGGGUGAGACUUAGGUGCAGAUUGAGACAUCUUAGGCAUCAAUAUAGAAGGGCUCAGGUGUACACUAUAUGUGUAAACUCUUGUUCUGGAUAAGAGUCAAUGCAAUCUGUGGACCUUUCUUGGUGCCUUGUCUGCUGAUGAACUGCUUUGCAGAUGUUUCAGGGGGAUCUGAGUUAUUCUCUAAACUCUAUCUGAACACAGACAAAAGUUAUGGCAUCAUGUGAAAUGCACUGUCAGUUUCUGUCUUGCAGUUCUCUGCAGGAUGAAAUCCCCAGAAACUGGAAAAAUACAUUUAAAAUAUAUUUUUAUAUCACUACAUUCCUGGCAAAAAUAGUGAAAAGAACUUUCCUGGGUUUCUCCAAAAGACAAAUCAGGAUUCUGUAAAAUUGUUGGAUCUUCUCUUGCCGUUUGCUGUGACUCGUGCACUUCAUACAACAGUACCUGAAGCUAUUGCCCAGGCAAAGCAAUCUUGGGUAUCUUCAUGUGCUUGUGUUCUAAAACUGUGUAUCAAUGUACAUCUUGGAUCUCUCAGGCUUAUUUAAUACAUUUAAGAUAUUAACAGGAUUAUUUGAGUUGGUAACCUGAAAUAAUCUGACACUGCAUUUAUUGAUGCACAAGAUUAUUCUGAAUUUUGUGUCCAAAUGUCUUACUUACCUUACAGUUCCAUGUGAAUAAAAUUAUUUGCUUUAAACAUA